RNAcentral lists this ribosomal RNA (460 nucleotides) under uncultured bacterium. RNAcentral describes it as "partial 16S ribosomal RNA". It matches the Rfam family "Bacterial small subunit ribosomal RNA", at positions 338 to 795 of the family's 1533-position model. The record is from RNAcentral.
CCUACGGGAGGCUGCAGUGAGGAAUAUUGGUCAAUGGACGAGAGUCUGAACCAGCCAAGUAGCGUGAAGGAUGACUGCCCUAUGGGUUGUAAACUUCUUUUAUAAAGGAAUAAAACGAGGCACGUGUGCCUUUUUGCAUGUACUUUAUGAAUAAGGAUCGGCUAACUCCGUGCCAGCAGCCGCGGUAAUACGGAGGAUCCGAGCGUUAUCCGGAUUUAUUGGGUUUAAAGGGAGCGUAGAUGGGUUGUUAAGUCAGUUGUGAAAGGUUGCGGCUCAACCGUAAAAUUGCAAUUGAUACUGGCAGUCUUGAGUACAGUUGAGGUAAGCGGAAUUCGUGGUGUAGCGGUGAAAUGCUUAGAUAUCACGAAGAACCCCGAUUGCGAAGGCAGCUUACUAAACUGUGACUGACAUUGAUGCUCGAAAGUGUGGGUAUCAAACAGGAUUAGAUACCCGUGUAGUC